AAAAAUAAUACAACAAUAAAAAUAAAUAUUGGUUAUUAGAAACCAUUAGCUUUGCUGAGUUGGGAUGCUCUCUUUUAGGUUAGGUUGAAUAUAUUUAAUUAAAAUAUAUAAUUUGUUCCAAUAAACAAACACCUAGCAGCAUAAAAAUAAUUCAGAAUACCUUAGCAACCACAUAGCAUCACCCUGGAAACAAUCUUCACUAGUUGUGGCAGUUUACUCAGAAAAUGUACAACUCACUGUAACCAAUUUUUUUGUUGUUGUUGUUGUUGUGUCGUAGGGUGAACCAGCAGAGUGCAACUGUUUGAAUGAUAUGUUCCCUGGAACCGGUGGACCUGUGAGCUAAUGCUUUAUUUUAUUGUUGUUAAUCAGGAAGACAUUAACACACUCUCACACAUACACACUCUAAUAAUGUGGGCUAUUAAACAAAACCUUUUAAAUCACUCACGUCUCAUCAUGAGACCUGAUGUCAUUCACAGUGCUGAAGUCAAUUACUCUUUUCUUGCAGGGGGUCCCAGGUGGUGAGAGCAGGUGGCAGCCUGGUCCUCAGGGGCCUCCUGGACCACCAGGCCUUCCAGGUCCCCCAGGGUCCCAAGGCUUUACAGGAAUCACAGGCCCACAGGUGAGUAUAAAACAAAUGGCAUCAGGGUGUACCUCUGCUUUUUCUGUCUGUUCCUUCAUCCUGCUCUCUUUGUGGGGCUUCUGUAUCGGUAAGGCCUGCAUGGGUAACUCUGGGCUUCCACUAAAGCAUAUUUAAAUGCACCAGUAAUGUUUUCUGUAAAAGUUUACACAUAAAAGCAAUUUGUUAAUUUAGCAAAUAAUUAUUACUACUGCCAUGAAUUAAAUGUAAUGUAAUGUAAUGUAAAUGUAAUGUCAUGCAAUUAUAAUGUAGUUUGUAAAAGAGCGCUGUAUUAAAACAUUGCUUUUUAAAUUGCACGCUUUAAAGGGGCUUCUGGGAAUUUUGAAUAGUGCCAUGGGAUGUGCUUUUUUAAUGGCUGUGCUUUUAAAAGUUAAUGUUAAAGUAAAUGUAAAUAUUAAUGUAGAUUGUAAUCUAAAUCAUUAAUGUAUGGAUCAAAUAUUGCGGGCAAAAAUGAAUUAAAUGUAAUCUAAUUAAUACAUUACUUAAAUAAGUGGUUGGGGGUCAUGCUGCUUUUUCUUUUUAAAAACCAUGCAGAAGCUCACUGUGAGGUUGCUGUAUUUACUUUAAGUCCAUUUUCAUCUUUAUCAGUUAUGUCUUAAAUAUACAAUGGGAAUUAUAAUGGUAUGUAAGCCCAUCAUCAUUUAAAUCACCCUGAUAAACUGGCAAAUUUACUUCUGUAUGACCUCACCGUGAGCACUGAGUGGUCUUUAACCUGGUGUUGUGUUGAUUUCCCAAGUCUCAGAAGAACUGAAAUUAAAAAAUAGACAGAGAAAGGCAAGAAAAAAUGUAAAUGUCUACU
Molecule: long non-coding RNA, 1436 nt
Filed under: Sinocyclocheilus grahami
Lineage: Eukaryota; Metazoa; Chordata; Actinopteri; Cypriniformes; Cyprinidae
Description: lncRNA (ENSSGRG00000001573.1)
Source: RNAcentral